AAAUUGGCUACAAGCCUAAUAAGCAUUUAAAUAGAAAUUCACAAAAGUAAUUUGGAAAUAAUCCAUCUUCAGUUGGCAUGAAAUGUCUACCCUAAACUAAUGUGGCAGGACACUGCAUCUUCCCUAAGCAUGGACUAUCUUAUAUUUACUUAGUGAUCAUGAAGAACAGUUGUAUAAACGUCAUACUUAAAAUCACAGAAAUUAAAUAUGAUUUAAAAGAAGAUAUCCAUUAAAAACAAUAAGUUCAUACAACCCCAAGAAUAGAAAUAAAAAAAUAAAUACAAAUCCCUUAUCCUUUUGUUAGGGCUGCAUCCUGCCCUAGAGAAGAGCUCAGCUUUCCAUGGUACGGAAAGUAGCAGCAGCAAUGUAGAGGACUCCCAUCACGGCUAUCUCCUUCCUUUCUUUGUCUUCUCCCUUCACUGGACUUGGUACGAACUCCCUUAGCAUUUC
This 450-nucleotide long non-coding RNA is filed under the name Phoenix dactylifera (date palm). Its description in RNAcentral is "long non-coding RNA (PDAC_LNC007305)". The record is from RNAcentral. Lineage: Eukaryota; Viridiplantae; Streptophyta; Magnoliopsida; Arecales; Arecaceae.